GACGAACGCUGGCGGCGUGCUUCAUACAUGCAAGUCCAACGAAAAGCAAGAACUUGCUCUUGUGGAAAGUGGCGGACGGGUGAGUAACAUGUAGGAAAUCUGCCCUUUAGCGGGGGACAACAGUUGGAAACGACUGCUAAUACCCCAUAUGAGCUAGCCUGAAAUGGUUAUCUUGAAAACUCCGGUGCUAAAGGAUGAACCUGCCCCUGAUUAACUAGUUGGCGGGGUAAAUGCCCCCCCAGGGUAUGAUUCGUAACUGGUUUGAAAAGAUGAUCAGCCCCCAUGGGACUGAGACACGGCCCAUACUCCUACGGGAGGCAGCAGUAGGGAAUUUUGCGCAAUGGGGGAAACCCUGACGCAGCAACGCCGCGUGACCGAUGACGCCCUUCGGGGUGUAAAGGUCUGUCAGUAGGGACGAAUUUUGACGGUACCUACAGAGGAAGCACCGGCUAACUCCGUGCCAGCAGCCGCGGUAAUACGGGGGGUGCAAGCGUUGUCCGGAAUCAUUGGGCGUAAAGAGUUCGUAGGCGGCAUGUCAAGUCUGGUGUUAAAUCCUGAGGCUCAACUUCAGUUCAGCACUGGAUACUGGCAAGCUAGAAUGCGGUAGGGUAAAGGGAAUUCCUGGUGUAGCGGUGAAAUGCGUAGAUAUCAGGAAGAACACCGGUGGCGUAAGCGCUUUACUGGGCCGUUAUUGACGCUGAGGAACGAAAGCCGGGGGAGCGAAUGGGAUUAGAUACCCCAGUAGUCCCGGCCGUAAACGAUGGAUACUAGGUGUUGUGGGUAUCGACCCCUACAGUGCCGUAGCUAACGCGAUAAGUAUCCCGCCUGGGGAGUACGCACGCAAGUGUGAAACUCAAAGGAAUUGACGGGGACCCGCACAAGCGGUGGAACAUGUGGUUUAAUUCGAAGCAACGCGAAAAACCUUACCAAGACUUGAAAUCGAUGGAAUCCUUAAGAAAUUAGGGAGUGCCCUUCGGGGAACCAGAAGACAGGUGGUGCACGGCUGUCGUCAGCUCGUGUCGUGAGAUGUUGGGUUAAGUCCCGCAACGAGCGCAACCCUCGUUAUUAGUUGCAUACGUCGGUAUACUGGCGUAGUGCUCUCUAAUAAGACUGCCGGUGAUAAACCGGAGGAAGGUGGGGACGACGUCAAGUCAUCAUGCCCCUUAUGUCUUGGGCUACACACGUGUUACAAUGGUUGGUACAACGAGCAGCCAACUCGCGAGAGUGAGCAAAUCUCUUAAAACCAAUCUCAGUUCGGAUCGUACUCUGCAACUCGAGUACGUGAAGUCGGAAUCGCUAGUAAACGCAGAUCAGCACGCUGCGUUGAAUACGUUCCCGGGUCU
RNAcentral lists this ribosomal RNA (1343 nucleotides) under uncultured bacterium. Its description in RNAcentral is "bacterial SSU rRNA". It matches the Rfam family "Bacterial small subunit ribosomal RNA", at positions 28 to 1381 of the family's 1533-position model. The record is from RNAcentral.